Molecule: non-coding RNA, 6125 nt
Organism: Macaca mulatta (Rhesus monkey)
Lineage: Eukaryota; Metazoa; Chordata; Mammalia; Primates; Cercopithecidae
Source: RefSeq, a predicted model, not a curated record
CCUCAACUGGUCUGCCCACCGUGGCCUCCCAAAAUGUUGGGAUUACAGGCGUGAGCCACUGCGCCUGGCCUUUUGAGACAUCUGUUGACUGUAAGUACAUUCAGAUUUGUCUGUUGGCUGCCUGAUACUGUCCAAUGGGAUAUGUUUCUGUUUUUAUGCCAGUUGCUUGCUGCCUCAGUAAGUGUAACUUUUCGAUGUAAUUUGACAUUGGGGAGCAUGAGGCAUUCAAGUGAGUUUUUAUUUCUGGAAAGUGCUUUGGAUUUUCAGGGUCUUCCAUGGUUCUAUGUGAAUUUUGCCAUUGUUCAUUUAUAGAUUUAAAACUGGGUUUGUCAUACAUGUCCAAAAUUAGGGAGUACAGUGGGAUUUUUUUUACUUGCGUACUUUGAGGAAUGAUGAAGUCAGGGUGUUUUGCAUAUCUAUUCCCAUGUCUAGUUUUUAUUUGUCUGUGAUGUGAACCUUCAAUUUUCCUCUCCUUUCUAGCUCUGUUGAAAGAGAUCCUACCAUAUUGUUACUUGUAGUCACCCUCCUGUGGAGUAGAUCACCAGCAUUAAUUCCUCCCCAGAAGUGCAACUUGGUACCUAUUACCAAUGCCAGCCCAUGCUCUGUCCUCCCAACAGCAUCUGAUAACCACUAUUGUACUUCCACUUUCCAUUAGAUAAUUCUUUUUUAGUCUCCUCAUGGGUGAGAUGAUGCAGUGUUUGUCUUUCCCUGCCUCACUGAUUCCGUUGAAUAUAACGUCUUCCAAGUUUAUCCGUGUUGCCACAAUGGACGUUCUGUCAUCGAUGUUUGUUGAUGGGGCAUAUUUCGUUGUAUCUGUAUGCUGAAGUUCCUUCAUCCCUUCAUCAGUUGAUGGACAGGUGCAGCCAUGUUGUGGGAAAUGAAAAAUGCCCUGAAUUUUGAUGGCUGAAAAGUAUUCCAUUGUGCCUGUGUCCUGGAGAUUCUUCAUCCCUUCAUCUGUGAAUGGACAGGACUGGGCAGAGGACCUGAAGACAUGAGAUUUAUGCACAGGUCAAAGAGAAGAUUCCCACCAUUGCUGAUGCACACAAAAGCGUUUCUCCAAGUGAUUGCAGAUGACAUGAUUUCCUGAAGUGUUACAGCUGAAGUGUGUUUCCUUGUGUACAUGUACUGUGGUUCCUUUAUCCCUUCAUCUGUGGAUAGACAGGUGCAACCAUGUGGUUCCCCACGAUAGGAUUUCAUUGUGGUUUUCUGUGUGAAGAGUAUCCCGGUGUGUACAUGUGGAGCAGCUUCUUUCUCCCUUCGUCUGUGGAUUAGCAGGUUUCUGCAUGUUGCUGCAGAUGACAUGGUUUCGUGAAUUUCUAUGGCUGAAGAGGAUUCCAUUGUGUACUGCAGUUUCUUUAUCCCUUCAUCUGUGCAUGAACAGGCGUUGUCACGGUGUUUGUUAGCUGUUGGGCAAUGGCACCCUGUGAAUCAGCAGCCUACAUGAAGAGCAUCAUCCCUGCAAUCCUCACAAAUCACCCUCAUGGUAGAGAAGAGACACGGGCUUUUGGAUUUCACAUGGCUGCUGAACAGCACCUGGGUCAGAAGGGAGCACCUUCCACAGGGAGGACUGCAUGAAAUUCCCUCUAGGCCACCUGAGGCUCCACCUCUGAUAUGGAGGGGAAGGGCCUGGAGAGGCCUGGUCCCCUCUUCAUUUUAGCAGCAGGGCACAGGACAAGAUGCUCUAGUAGAAGAACCUUUUGACUUAAAGGGAUAGGAUUGUUUUUGUUCUUUCAACAUGAACGUGAGUCUGGAGAAACAGCUAUGGCCAUCCCAGCCCUGGGCAAGGGGAAGAUGCCGGAAAACUCCAGGGUGGGAGGAAGCACAUCCCAAGGCCCAAGAUCUGCCAGACAACUGGAGAAGAGAAAAUGCAGGCAGGUAUUGAAGCCGUGAAAGGUUACGCAAAUGUACGUUUGAAACUGGAAAUGAAACAAGGUGAUUUUCUCUGCCACACGAACAACAGAUUGGCAAAACGUUAAAGCAUGUUAGUGUUCAGGGGAGGCUGCGUUCAGAGAAGCAGCUACCUUCAGAGGCUGCUGGUGACUGUGUAACCAGCUGGAACUCUUUUGGACAGUCAACUGGCUAGAGAUGUUGAAACUUGAUGACUGCAUAUCCUUUCACCCAGAUAUCCCUUUCCCGGGUGUCUAUCUUCCGCAGGGGAUUUGUGUAUUUUAUGGAUUGAAUUGUGUCCCCUCCCCCAAAUGUAAAUGUUUCUAUUCUCAACCCCAGAGACUCAGAAUGUGACUGUGUCUGGACACAGAGUUCUCCAAGAGGUAAUUCAGGUGAAGUGAGUUCAUUAGGGUGGCCCCUAAUUUAAUAUGCCUGGGGUUCUUACAAGGAGAGGUGGUGAGCGCACAGAGAAGUUGGAGAGAAGACCCUGUGCUGACCGAGAUAGAAGUCAGCCAUCUCCAAGGCAAGGAGAGAGGCCCAGACAAACCACCCCAGUCUGACAGCUUGACAUUGGAGUUCCAGUCUCCAGAAUUGUGAGGAACCAGAUUUCUGUGGUUAAGCCCUUCAGUCAGCGUGGCAUGUUAUGGCAGUCCUGGCAAACUGCUCCAGCCUGUUAGGACACACAUAGGAUUAUGCUCCCUGCAGAACGGCUUCCUAGAAAGGGAAUUUUAUCAUGACAUGCUCCACCAGCAUUGAGAGGCUGACCCGCUGCGGAACAUGGCCUCCCUUAAGGAAUAUUACAGUGAGAUGUGAGGGUACAGCUCCUGCCCGAUUGGCCUGCAGGGAUGAGUUCUGUGAGAUGACACUUUAAAGACAAAUGCAUGGAGUAGCUUCACCUUCUGUUGCUGUAGUCAACCCCCCCCCACCCUUGUUUGUGUAAAAGUUCUGUAUUUUAAGUCCUGGAGGAGGUCUGGCAGGGCAGCAGAGCUGCCUGUUUGUUGCCCGAGAUACCCUUAGGGUGGGGAGUUAAAAUGAUAACAGUAUGAGUAUGUUGCUAUUGUUACCAUUAUUGUGGCAUGAAUUCUUGUGGCAACAUGCUGAGAUACUUCUGGCAUAGCAUAAAGUGAAAACAGAAGGAUUUUCUCUGAUCUUCCUCUGAUAGGUGAGAGGGACUUUGCCUGUAACCAAGUUGUCACUGGGGACUGAUGGCAGCUAGAUUGCUUUGGGAUAGGACAGUGGGUCACUAAAGUGGGAAAGCCCUAGGACAGAGCUUAGGGAGUCCCCAUAUUUGUGUUGGAGUCCUGGGCCCACCCUGGUUUUCUGGAGUCCCUGUCUGUGGAGACCCUUCUGUGCCCCGUCUCACCCCAGACCAUCACUGGCCGUUGUUGGUGGCAUGGUGCACCUGUCCUUUAACAAAGUUGGAGAAAUGGAAUCCAUCCAGCAGCUCCUGCUUUAUCCACUGUGUGGAGCUCUACAAAGAGAGUGCCCGAGAGCCGGGCCAAGAGGUGUCAGUGGCCUGUCUGGUUGACCCCACAAUGGGAUACCCCCAUUAGAACUUCUCCUAGCCCCCCCCCUUCCCCAACAAUAUUUGCCACAUAGGAGCAUCUGCAUAGACCUCCAGCCAGAGAAGGUUGAGUUCUCUGGCAGAUGACAGCUUGAGGUCUUGGGAUUCAGAUCUGAGUAGACAAAGUGUGUCCUCAACGCUCACCUUCCCACCCUGCCAGGCAUGGUCUGGGCUGUGAACCUGACAGGCUCCAAACACCUGACAACCAGCCUGCUUCUGUCCAGGGAGGGCCCCUCAUCUCCUGUUUCCCCCAUACACAUGGGGAGGGGCUCGGCGCUGCCCAGACGGGCAGAGCUGAGGCCUGGCCUGGACGGGCCUGCCCUGGGCCCUGUGUUACCUGAGGGUGCCUUCUGGCAAAGGGCCAGAGGCGUCGAGGGUGAGGGUUGAACCAAUGUCUAUAUUCUUGAGAAAGACUCUCAUUUUGGCCUCUCCUGCGACGAGGAGGUCGGCAGCAUGUCGGGACACAGCAGGAGAACAUGUUGUUCUCCGGAGUGUCGCCCACCAAAUGAGCUGGAAAUGGGGCUGUGUGUAUAAUAUGGGUGCCUAGUUACCAGAAUUCUAAGUUCUAUUGGGGAUCUGUCAGCAAGGAAGUGAGGUCACAUCUUGCAGGUUCCAUCCUGUAAGCUCCUCCUUUCCAUGAGACCUACUCACAGGUCCCUCUGGGUUUCUGAUCGCUCACCCUCCCCCAUCAACUCCUUAGCUUUCACCGUUAAGCAAAAGUGUGCCUCUUCAGCACCUUGGGAAGAGAAGACCGGAAUAUAACCAUUCUCCCAGAUUUUGCACACCCUGCAAGAUGGAAGAACUACAAGAAGGGGUGAGAAGUAGCAUGGAAUACAACUCCAGUGGGCCUGGGGUCCACAGUGUGAUCUCAGGAAAAACUAAUUUUGCUCUGGGCCUCGUCUUUCACUCUCCACCAGUAGAGGUUGAGAUUAAAUGAAAUUCAGACAUCCUCUUCUGACAUUGCACCUUCCAGUGCGUUCCCAUUUUAUUUAGAACCAGACCCUGUGCCUCAUCUCAGCCUUGGGUGGGUAGUAUCCACAAAGACAGCACUGAGGGGUUAGUGACUCCCUUCUGAAUGAUGGAAUAGGACACAAAUGGUGGAAUAGCACUUCUGAGCUAGUUCAGGCUGUUACGGCCAAGAUCCGUAGCCUGGGGAGCUCAUCAAGAAGAGAAUUGUGUUUCUCCCAGUUCUGGAGGCUGGAAGUUGGAGAUCAGGGUACCAGCCUGGUCAGGCCUUAGUGAGUACACUUCUGUCCCAUUCACUGAGCUUUUACAGGUGCUGUCCUUUCCUUGGAGGAUGGCUCAACUUUAGGAGCAUGGGUAGAUCUCCAUUCAAAGCCCAGUUCUCACUUGUAGCUUGGUGAUCGUGAGGAAGUCAUAGAACAUCCCUGUGCCUGUUUUCUCCUCUGAGAAAUGGUGUUAGUGAGAAUUGCUUCACUUUUUAAUUACAGAAAAUAAAGCAUGCAAAGAAGUUAACUCGGUGCCAUUGGGCAGAGAGUGAGAGUCCAGCAAACCAGAGAGAUCAGCUUGCCCACAACAGUGGCAAGGAGUGCGGAGAGUGGGUGAGGCUGGGGCAGAAAGCAGGCCAGCCUGCCAGAGCCCAGGAACAGGUGAAGGGCAAGAGUGAGCUCCUCACCCUGAAUUCUCAGGGGACACAGGCAUGCAGGGUUUGUGGGGAGCACAAUCAUCAGGACUGCCCUCAUUCCCCUGGUUCCCUCCAUAUCUGAUGUGGUCCCAGGGCCCCCUCUCCCUGUGUUUCCUCUCUGCCCUGUUUUCUUCCUGGCUGCCCUCCCAGGACUCAUUUUGGGCCCUGGUCAGGUGGAGUCUUGAGGUAACUAUAGGCUCCUCUGAGGUUCAACCUACCGUUUGUUGAGACCUCUGAGCUUAGAAACCACCUCCAGCCUAUACCCGAGAGAGGGCUGGAGGGAGCUGACAGUGCAAUGGCGGUUUUCCCUGGGGCAGCCACUCCAGGGCCUGCUGGCAGGUAUCUGCUGAACUUGAGCUUUCUUUUGGGCCUCUGGGGUUCUGAGGUGUGAUUUUCCCUCUUAAGAUAGGCUGAUCCCCCAGUGGGUGCCUUAGCCUCAGAAAUGGUUCCCGCUGAGCUGGGAGCUGUGCUCUACCUUCAGUUUCCUAGGACACCUCACCCUGGCCCUGCCCAUUCUGACUUCCAAAACCCAAAGAGAGGGUCUGUAGAAAUUGCUAGAUAGGAAAGGGCUACAAAUAAGUCAUUGGAGGUGUAUUUACAUAACAAAUGUUUUUUAGUCAUUACUAUACAUCUACCUCAGCAAAGGCAAUAUUUAAAAAUGUUAAUACCCUGAGUCACCCUACAGAGAGUUGUAUUUAUUUGAUGGCGCAGGAGACAGUCAUGUUCUGUUUUGUUUUUUCUUUUUUGAAAUGGGAUCUUGUGGUGUUUGCCCAGGCUGUAGCAGAGUUGCAUGAUCAUAAGCAGCCUUGACCUCCCAGGCUCAAGGAAUCCUCCCUUCUCAGCCUUUCAAGUGGCUGGGACUUGAGAGUCCACCACCAUGCCAUGCCAUAUUUUUUUGUAGAGGCAGGGUCUCACUGUUCCACCCAGGCUUGUCUUCAAGUCCUAGCCUCAAGCUGUCCUACUGCCUCGGCCUCCCACAAUCGAGUUGACAGACAUAAGCCACUGUGCCUGGCCAUGUUUCUUUUAAGA